Bos taurus (domestic cattle) is the source of this 72-nucleotide non-coding RNA. NCBI's taxonomy places the organism in Eukaryota, Metazoa, Chordata, Mammalia, Artiodactyla, Bovidae. The record is from Rfam.
UCCCUGGUGGCUCAGAUGGUAGAGAAUCUGCCUGUGGUGCCGGAGACCCAGGUUCAAUCCCUGGGUUGGGAA